GGCAGGUCCAGGUGAAGCCAGGUUAUGGAGAAAAUGAAUACAAACUGACAAAUGCACAGGAGGAAAGCAAGCGGAAGAGCUCACCCUGAAGUCACAACAUAACUGAGCGAACUCUGAGCACUGACUGUUGACACAUGGUCCAUUGUUCUUUAUCAGCCGGUACCGCCAGGCCUGGAGAAGCUGGUGCAAACCGCGCGAAGCUCAGUGAGGGGCCGUAGGAAUCCAUCAUCGCCCCUGCCCCAGCACUGGUGCUGGAUGGCUCUUGUGCUCACCCGCCCUGGGCUCUUCCUGCUAUGAGCAAGAUCACCAACGGAAGAGCACUUCAAUCAAGGCAUCAGGGGACAUUUGGGGUGAGUUUGAGGAGCAGGAGAAGAGCAGUCCAGCUAAGACCUGCAGAUCUUACCAGCUGACACUGAGAAGGAAGUGCGGUGGCCGUAGCAGUCCAGAAGCAGCCCUUCCUGCCAGUCUUAAUCAGUAGCGC
RNAcentral lists this long non-coding RNA (481 nucleotides) under Heterocephalus glaber (naked mole-rat). RNAcentral describes it as "lncRNA (ENSHGLG00100046301.1)". The record is from RNAcentral. Lineage: Eukaryota; Metazoa; Chordata; Mammalia; Rodentia; Bathyergidae.